AACCCUGUUCUCAUUUCAACUUAUUGAGGAUAAGCUCAAUAAGAAAUAAUAGAAAAUAAUAAUAUUUAACUAGUAACACAGGCCUGAGGUUAGCCACUGUCAAGAAACUUGUUAUAAAGUAGCCCAAUAAAAAUGGAAAAUAUUUGAUAUUUUUAACUUAAAUAUAUUAAGAAAACAACAGAUGAAAAUAAACUUUAUCUGUUAGCUUAUGCUAAAAUGAGUAUUUUUAAACUUGUAACAUUUUAAGCAAGAAAUAAAUAAUGUUUAAUUCCGAUCAUUUUUAAAAAAAUAAAGUAAGGAGAAGGAACUCGGCAAAGUUAAGCUCCGCCUGUUUAUCAAAAACAUGGCUCUUUGACCUAUAAAAUAAAGAGUCAGACCUGCCCAGUGAAAUUUUAACGGCCGCGGUACUCUGACCGUGCAAAGGUAGCAUAAUCAUUUGCCUUAUAAUUGAAGGCUAGUAUGAAAGGUUCGACGAAAGCAAAGCUGUCUCCCCCUUAUUGAUUAGAAUUUGACCUUUAGGUGAAGAGGCCUAAAUAAAAUUGAAAGACAAGAAGACCCUGUCGAGCUUAAAAAUAAAUCAGGAAAUAAGACCAUAUAGUAAAUCAAUUAAAUCUACUACUGCUCAUUUUUUUGGUUGGGGCGACCGGGGAACAAAAAAAGCUUCCUUUCCAUUUUUAGCUUGUAAGCAUUGAUCCAGCAAAGCUGAUUAGAAAAAUUAGUUACCGCAGGGAUAACAGCAUAAUCUCCCUUGAGAGACCUAAUCGAAAGGGGGGGUUGUGACCUCGAUGUUGGACUAGAAUAUCCUAAAGAUGCAGAAGUCU
Molecule: ribosomal RNA, 821 nt
Filed under: Doryssa sp. FK-2009
Lineage: Eukaryota; Metazoa; Mollusca; Gastropoda; Pleuroceridae
Description: partial 16S ribosomal RNA
Rfam family: Archaeal large subunit ribosomal RNA (bases 255-821)
Source: RNAcentral